This 352-nucleotide long non-coding RNA is filed under the name Daucus carota (carrot). RNAcentral describes it as "long non-coding RNA (DCAR_LNC003548)". The record is from RNAcentral. Lineage: Eukaryota; Viridiplantae; Streptophyta; Magnoliopsida; Apiales; Apiaceae.
CUAGCACUAAGGUGAUGGUAUACUCUGUUUUUAUCAUAAGAGCGUGCAAUCACUACAAAACAAGUCUAGAAUGACUACAAUGAUAAUUAUAAGUUAAUUAAUCACUAUAAUACAAGCCUAAAGUACAAAAUUAAUCACAUGACUCUUAGUAGUUUCCUAUAUGAAUAUAGAUUUUUUUAAGUUACAAUUAUCCUCCUCUGAUAGUCUUAAGGGACAUUAAUGUGUGUAUACAUCUGGCUAUAAAAUUACUAGCAAUUAACAACUAUGUUAUUUUAAUUAUUGAAUUCUCAUUAGCUUGGGCUGAUCAACUUAGUACUCAAAACACACAUAGACUGUUCAAUUACUAUAAUAU